This 665-nucleotide ribosomal RNA is filed under the name uncultured bacterium. RNAcentral describes it as "bacterial SSU rRNA". The stretch from base 1 to 542 matches the Rfam family "Bacterial small subunit ribosomal RNA", at positions 338 to 873 of the family's 1533-position model. The record is from RNAcentral.
CCUACGGGAGGCAGCAGUAAGGAAUAUUGGUCAAUGGGCGCAAGCCUGAACCAGCCAUGCCGCGUGCAGGAAGACGGCCCUAUGGGUUGUAAACUGCUUUUGAACAAGAGAAAACCUCGGUACGUGUACCGAGCUGAUAGUAUUGUUAGAAUAAGCAUCGGCUAACUUCGUGCCAGCAGCCGCGGUAAGACGAAGGAUGCAAGCGUUAUCCGGAUUCAUUGGGUUUAAAGGGUGCGUAGGCGGCCUGAUAAGUCAGUGGUGAAAUCUCUCAGCUUAACUGGGAAACUGCCAUUGAUACUGUCGGGCUUGAGUACAGAUGAUGUGGGCGGAAUAUGACAUGUAGUGGUGAAAUACUUAGAUAUGUCAUAGAACACCGAUUGCGAAGGCAGCUCACAAAACUGUAACUGACGCUGAGGCACGAAAGUGCGGGGAUCAAACAGGAUUAGAUACCCUGGUAGUCCGCACCGUAAACGAUGAUUACUCGUUGUUGGCAAUAUGACCGUCAGCGACCGACGACGAACGACGAGUAAGUAAUACCGACCCGUACGGGUAGGUACGGACCCGGCCCGACCGGUACGGUAAACCGUAACCGAAACGUAAGUAAGUUAGUUACGGACGUUAGAGGACGUUACGCCGGACGGACGACGACGACGGGAGGGUUAGGG